Molecule: ribosomal RNA, 492 nt
Filed under: uncultured bacterium
Lineage: Bacteria
Description: partial 16S ribosomal RNA
Rfam family: Bacterial small subunit ribosomal RNA
Source: RNAcentral
AGUGAACGCUGGCGGUAGGCCUAACACAUGCGAGUCGAACGGCAGCACAGUAAGAGCUUGCUCUUACGGGUGGCGAGUGGCGGACGGGUGAGGAAUACAUCGGAAUCUACUUUUUCGUGGGGGAUAACGUAGGGAAACUUACGCUAAUACCGCAUACGACCUACGGGUGAAAGCAGGGGAUCUUCGGACCUUGCGCGAUUGAAUGAGCCGAUGUCGGAUUAGCUAGUUGGCGGGGUAAAGGCCCACCAAGGCGACGAUCCGUAGCUGGUCUGAGAGGAUGAUCAGCCACACUGGAAGUGAGACACGGUCCAGACUCCUACGGGAGGCGCCAGUGGGGAAUAUUGGACAAUGGGCGCAAGCCUGAUCCAGCCAUACCGCGUGGGUGAAGAAGGCCUUCGGGUUGUAAAGCCCUUUUGUUGGGAAAGAAAAGCAGCAGGUUAAUACCCCGCUGUUCUGACGGUACCCAAAGAAUAAGCACCGGCUAACUUCGUG